CGUCAACAUCAGCUCCCACCAGCGAGGACGGCGCGAGGAAGCGAAGCGGGGCAGGCGCAACGCCGCCCGCUCGUGGGGCCGCAGGCGGGGCGGCAAGGGCGCGAGUUCCUGCCAAAUGCUGGAUGCCAGCUCGUUUGGCCUCUCGACAGCUUAGUGGACUAGUUGGUGCAUUUCUGUUAUCGUGGACUGCGCAUAUAAACGCAAACUACACAAGGUAACAUGGACAAGAGCGCAAGCGCUUUCCAUGGAGUGGAGCCGCCUUGUCUCGCCGUUCAGAAUAUAUGGGUACUUGAAGAAAAAAAGAAGAGCUUUAUAUGAGAACGGACCAAGCGUUCGAGAGUUGGGACAAGGAAAUGAAACAUUGGAACGACACUGCUUAAAUUGAAGCAUGGUGUGCGAAUGACCUGCUACACUCGGAAUUGUUAUCACCAUUCGCGAAGAAAUCAGAUGAAAAAAGAAAACUGUAAAUACCCAGUACUGUACGAUAAACGUCUGGUGUAUUGCAGGUAAGAAUGGAUUGUGUGUAGCACUUCUCCGCAUAUGGACUUGAGUAGCUCUAGGAACAGCAGACAAAGAGGCAUGUACGUGAAAUACUGUGGACAGCCGUUUAUAUGAGCACUGUAACAAUAUCCAAGCUUCACUCUCGACGGGGACAGAGAAAUACCGGAUGCUGUACCGUUCAGAGCCAAGAACAUGGAACGGCUGAAAAAGAGUCUCCAAGGCAGUAUGCGAAACUAUCACAGCAGACCAGCGCCGUCCUUUAGCUGUAUCGUACUAUUUCAAUGAACAAAGACUGCUUGCAAAUUGCUAACACUGCUGCACGAAAAAAAUAAUGUAUUUUAUGAUUGCAAAAUAAACCCCUA
Long non-coding RNA from Dermacentor albipictus, 863 nucleotides. RefSeq lists it as uncharacterized. The record is from RefSeq and is a predicted model, not a curated record. NCBI's taxonomy places the organism in Eukaryota, Metazoa, Arthropoda, Arachnida, Ixodida, Ixodidae.